AGAGGUCAGAGUGCUGCAAUCUGAGAACUCAACCUGGCUUUGAACACAGAAGAAGGAAACUUUGAACACAGAAGAAGGAAUCCAGGAAUGUGAGCAGCCUCAGAAAGCCAAAAAAGGGCUUGCCCCAAGGGAGACCUCAGCUUCUAGAUGGAGGGAGGUCUUGCUAGCAGUUACCAGAAUAAGAGAAACUGCCAUGGUAAUUAACAACCUGCUGCUGUGGGAAUCCAAAUAGAGUCUGAGCAAUGUGUUUACAAUGCUUGGAGACAUAAUAGUGAGAUCAUCUCCCUGGUAGCAGGAACCAGGCUUCACCCUUCAUUCCGUUUAAAGAGACCAUGUAGAAAAGUGAUUAUGGCCAGCGACUCUGCAGCCAAACUGCCUGGGUUCAAAUCUCAGCUUUGCCAUUGACUUACUAGCUCUGUAACCUUGGACAAUCUACUUUGUUUCUCUGUGUUCCAGUUUCCCCAUGUGUAAAAUCUUUUACUAAAGUGAAGGAGGGCUAAUGAAGAUAAAAAUGUUGUUCCCCUCAUGAUGGCCAGACAAGAGGAGGAAGA
RNAcentral lists this non-coding RNA (551 nucleotides) under Pongo abelii (Sumatran orangutan). The record is from RNAcentral. Lineage: Eukaryota; Metazoa; Chordata; Mammalia; Primates; Hominidae.